RNAcentral lists this ribosomal RNA (447 nucleotides) under uncultured bacterium. Its description in RNAcentral is "bacterial SSU rRNA". It matches the Rfam family "Bacterial small subunit ribosomal RNA", at positions 330 to 793 of the family's 1533-position model. The record is from RNAcentral.
UCCAGACUCCUACGGGAGGCAGCAGUGGGGAAUAUUGCACAAUGGGCGAAAGCCUGAUGCAGCGACGCCGCGUGGGUGAAGGAGUAUUUCGGUAUGUAAAGCCCUAUCGGCAGGGAAGAAGCAAGACGGUACCUGACUAAGAAGCCCCGGCUAACUACGUGCCAGCAGCCGCGGUAAUACGUAGGGGGCGAGCGUUAUCCGGAUUCACUGGGUGUAAAGGGAGCGUAGACGGCCAUGCAAGCCAGGGGUGAAAGCCCGGGGCCCAACCCCGGGACUGCCCUUGGAACUGCAUGGCUGGAGUGCGGGAGGGGCAGGCGGAAUUCCUGGUGUAGCGGUGAAAUGCGUAGAUAUCAGGAGGAACACCGGCGGCGAAGGCGGCCUGCUGGACCGCGACUGACGUUGAGGCUCGAAAGCGUGGGGAGCAAACAGGAUUAGAUACCCCAGUAC